GGCCGACGAGGAGUCAUCAGUGAUGAUGUGCAAAGGUCGCCAAGCCGCUGUCGAUGAGUAAAGCUUCUAGUCAAACGAUUGCAGAGGACUAAUCGAUGAAAGUAGUUGCCAAUCUUGAAUCAUCAGAGAAGAUGGUGGCCAACCUUGGAUCAUCGGAGAUCUCUAUUGAUGGGCCUACUGGAUAUAGUUAUUUGGGGCUCUGGAUCUUUUCAUAAAUUUGAUCCAUACAAAAUUUUCUUCAACAUAUACCCUCUACUCUUGAGUCCGACUUCAGUUGGGCGAAGAGAGUACACCUGUCAUUUUUUAGGCCGAUGAUGUGAAAAGGGCUUUAUGAUUGAUGGGACGUGCAUGACUUUUCGAGGCAGUCUUGAGGCGGCACGAUUUAAGUCAUCAUGAUGGAAUUAAAUGUCCGUCACUUCACUAUCUGCUUUUGAAUUGUGGCACCGAUUAGCAUAACUGACGACAGUGACUGACCGAAUAGGAGAAUGGCAUAUAUGUCACAUUCUUCGACUUGUUGGAUAAGAAAUGAUUCGAUAUCUGAAGAUUAUCUUCUUCUGGCUAUAAAUAGAAGAAGAGCUUGUCCUUGAUUUCUCUGAUUGUUGCUAGAGUCUUCUAUUCUCUCUUUCUCUUGUCCAUUAUGGUAGCUUUUUGAAGCAAAGGGUGCUUCUUCUUCCGUGAUGCAACCCUUUCCGAAGGUUUUUCGAAGGCUUUUUAGUGAUUGCUUCAUUUUUUCUGUCUCCUUCCUUUGCUUCCAGGUGGGUUUUCUUUUUCACUCAUCUAUUCCUCCAUUCUUCCAUUUUUUCUUUAAGUAUCCUUCCAG
RNAcentral lists this long non-coding RNA (820 nucleotides) under Elaeis guineensis (African oil palm). RNAcentral's name for it is "long non-coding RNA (EGUI_LNC018334)". The record is from RNAcentral. Lineage: Eukaryota; Viridiplantae; Streptophyta; Magnoliopsida; Arecales; Arecaceae.